Molecule: long non-coding RNA, 548 nt
Organism: Oncorhynchus tshawytscha (Chinook salmon)
Lineage: Eukaryota; Metazoa; Chordata; Actinopteri; Salmoniformes; Salmonidae
Source: Ensembl
CAGUCUCUCUCUCUCUCUCUCGCUGUCUCUCUCUCUCUCUCGCUGUCUCUCUCUCUCUCUCUCUGCAUCUCUCUCUCUCUCUCUCGCUGUCUCUCUCUCUCUCUCUCGCUGUCUCUCUCUCUCUCUCUCGCUGUCUCUCUCUCUCUCUCUCGGUCUCUCUCUCUCUCUCUCGCGGUCUCUCUCUCUCGCGGUCUCUCUUUCUCUCUCUCUCUCGGUCUCUCUCUCUCUCUCGCAGUCUUUCUCUCUCUCUCGCAGUCUCUCUCUCUCUCUCGCAGUCUCUCUCUCUCGCAGUCUCUCUCUCUCUCUCUUGCAGUCUCUCUCUCUCUCUCUCGCAGUCUCUCUCCCUCUCUCUUGCAGUCUCUCUCUCUCGCAGUCUUGCUCUCUCUCUCUUGCAGUCUCUCUCUCUCUUGCAGUCUCUCUCGCGGUCUCUCUAUCUCUCUCUCGCAGUCUCUCUCUCUCUCUCUCUCAGUCUCUCUCUCUCUCUCUCUCUCUCUCGCUGUCUCUCUCUCUCUCUCUCACUGUCUCUCUCUCUCUCUCGCUGUCUCUCU